CUACUGGUAGUAUAAAUUGAGUACAGGUUACUUACAAUAACCAGGUGAAUUUUUCUAGGUAGA
Molecule: transfer RNA, 63 nt
Filed under: Tigriopus japonicus
Lineage: Eukaryota; Metazoa; Arthropoda; Copepoda; Harpacticoida; Harpacticidae
Description: tRNA-Val
Source: RNAcentral